Molecule: long non-coding RNA, 1130 nt
Organism: Astatotilapia calliptera (eastern happy)
Lineage: Eukaryota; Metazoa; Chordata; Actinopteri; Cichliformes; Cichlidae
Source: Ensembl
GUGACAACAUGAACAUAUGUGGACCUCAUCAUUUGAAACCUAAUAUCAUUAAUAUAAGAAAAUGAUAAUAAAUAAAAAUAAGGAAAAGUAUUACAGACCUACUUCAAAUUUUAGGCUGUGACUAGUUACUGGUACAAGGUUUAUCUGAAGCGUGGUUGUUUGAUCCCCGUGGUGCUGUGAUUGAUUGGUAACUGUACUAAUACAGUGCAAGUAGUCUACAGGCACAAAAGUGAAAUUUCACAACUUUAUAAUAAAGAUUCAUGCAACAAGUACACUUAUAAAAGUAAUGCUUUAGUUAGAAAGCUAAGCCAUAUACUGUAGUAGCAGGAGUCACAGACAUUUGCAUCUUACCAGGAAUCUCUUUUCCUGCUCCAGAAAGUCCAGAAAGACUGAACACAUAAUUAUUUUGUUUGGAAAAUUAAAUUUUCAAGAUUUAUACCUCACAAUUUUAAAUAAUUUCCCCCAGGGAUCAAUAAAGUAUUCUGAUUCUGAUUCUGAUUCUGAUUAAACAGUUAUUUCAAGAACCUUUUUUUUCACGUUUAGGGUUUAAAAUGUUUUAAUAAAGUACAAUAUACUGUACAAAAAGCACGUUCUUAGAGAAAAUUCUGACAAAAAGAUCCACAGAAAAUCAAACAUAGCAAGUCUGAAUAAUGCCUGAAAAAACAAAACAAAACAAAAAAUACAGAUUCCCACCCACUGCUUCAACUUACCCUGAGGGCCACAGCAAACUUGUUUUAAUGAUCAGGCUUUGUGUAAUAGACAUGUACAAUAGUUUUAAAUUGAGAGCACUGUGUGUUACUGGAAAAUCAAAAGUAGCCAUCAAGAUACACCUUUGUAAAAGCUUUACACACACACACACAAGCGCACACACGUGCGCGCGCGCACACACACACACCUGUUGUUGUCUCUCUCCUGUCUGUGGGACUUUCAGCACCUUUUGCCAGAACAACACUGUCUCAGAGGAGUCACAACCUUUAAUCAAUGUGUUGAUAAACAAUAAUUCCUUUUUUUGCAUUCUGAAAAUUUUCCUACUGAAAUGCAUCACAUAAAUCCUCAUCCUCUAUCUGUUUAAUCUGUUCAAAAUGCAUUGCUGCCAGACGAGAGUUAAGCAAUAAUAUAUACAUACUUUU